This 437-nucleotide ribosomal RNA is filed under the name Wolbachia endosymbiont of Aphis gossypii. Its description in RNAcentral is "bacterial SSU rRNA". It matches the Rfam family "Bacterial small subunit ribosomal RNA", at positions 992 to 1428 of the family's 1533-position model. Lineage: Bacteria; Pseudomonadati; Pseudomonadota; Alphaproteobacteria; Rickettsiales; Anaplasmataceae. The record is from RNAcentral.
CAUACCUAUUCGAAGGGAUAGGUUCGGUUUGGCCGGAUUUCACGCAGGUGUUGCAUGGCUGUCGUCAGCUCGUGUCGUGAGAUGUUGGGUUAAGUCCCGCAACGAGCGCAACCCUCAUCCUUAGUUACCAUCAGGUUAUGCUGGGGACUUUAAGGAAACUGCCAGUGAUAAACUGGAGGAAGGUGGGGAUGAUGUCAAGUCAUCAUGGCCCUUAUGGAGUGGGCUACACACGUGCUACAAUGGUGAUUACAAUGGGCUGCAAGGUCGCAAGGCUGAGCUAAUCCUAAAAAAUCAUCUCAGUUCGGAUUGUUCUCUGCAACUCGAGAGCAUGAAGUUGGAAUCGCUAGUAAUCGUGGAUCAGCAUGCCACGGUGAAUACGUUCUCGGGUCUUGUACACACUGCCCGUCACGCCAUGGGAAUUGGUUUCACUCGAAGCU